UACGAAGGGUGCAAACGUUGCUCGGAAUUAUUGGGCGUAAAGCGCACGUAGGCGGCUUUGCAAGUCGGAUGUGAAAGCCCUCGGCUCAACCGAGGAAGUGCAUCCGAAACUGCAGAGCUUGAGUACGAAAGAGGAUCGCGGAAUUCCCGGUGUAGAGGUGAAAUUCGUAGAUAUCGGGAGGAACAUCAGUGGCGAAGGCGGGGAUCUGGGUCGAUACUGACGCUGAGGUGCGAAAGCGUGGGGAGCAAACAGG
Molecule: ribosomal RNA, 253 nt
Filed under: uncultured bacterium
Lineage: Bacteria
Description: partial 16S ribosomal RNA
Rfam family: Bacterial small subunit ribosomal RNA
Source: RNAcentral